CCUACGGGAGGCAGCAGUGAGGAAUAUUGGUCAAUGGGCGAGAGCCUGAACCAGCCAAGUCGCGUGAGGGAUGACGGUCCUAUGGAUUGUAAACCUCUUUUAUAAGGGAAUAAAACGCGGCACGUGUGCCGUUUUGAAUGUACCUUAUGAAUAAGGAUCGGCUAACUCCGUGCCAGCAGCCGCGGUAAUACGGAGGAUCCGAGCGUUAUCCGGAUUUAUUGGGUUUAAAGGGUGCGUAGGUGGGUUGUUAAGUCAGGGGUGAAAGUUUGGGGCUCAACCGUAAAAUUGCCGUUGAUACUGGUAGUCUUGAGUAAAGUUGAGGUAGGCGGAAUGCGUGGUGUAGCGGUGAAAUGCUUAGAUAUCACGCAGAACCCCGAUUGCGAAGGCAGCUUACCAACCCGUGACUGACACUGAUGCACGAAAGUGUGGGUAUCAAACAGGAUUAGAUACCCUAGUAGUC
Molecule: ribosomal RNA, 460 nt
Filed under: uncultured bacterium
Lineage: Bacteria
Description: partial 16S ribosomal RNA
Rfam family: Bacterial small subunit ribosomal RNA
Source: RNAcentral